GAUGAACGCUGGCGGCGUGCCUAAUACAUGCAAGUUGAGCGCUGAAGGGUGGUACUUGUUUCUACUGGAUGAGCAGCGAACGGGUGAGUAACGCGUGGGUAAUCUGCCUAUGAGAGGGGGACAACAUCUGGAAACGAAUGCUAAUACCGCAUAAUAUCUUUAAACACAAGUUUUAAGAUUGAAAGAUGCUCUUGCUUCAACUAAUGGUGAUAUCGCGUUGGCUUAGCUAGUUGGUGAAGUAAAGGCCCUACAAAGCCAACGUUCAUAAGCCACCUGGGGGGGGGAUCGGCCACAUUUGGACUUGGACACGGCCCAAACCCCUUCCGGAGGCAACAAGAGGGAAACUUUGGGAAUUGACGAAAGGCUGGCCGAGCAACGCCGCGUGAGGUGAUAAGGGUUUCGGAUCGUAAAACUCUUUUUGUAGAGAAGAAAGUUGGGUGUAAGUGAAUGCUCAUCAAUUGACGGUAACUACCCAGAAAGCGACGGCUAACUACGUG
This 497-nucleotide ribosomal RNA is filed under the name uncultured bacterium. RNAcentral describes it as "partial 16S ribosomal RNA". It matches the Rfam family "Bacterial small subunit ribosomal RNA", at positions 28 to 507 of the family's 1533-position model. The record is from RNAcentral.